RNAcentral lists this long non-coding RNA (278 nucleotides) under Olea europaea (common olive). Its description in RNAcentral is "long non-coding RNA (OEUR_LNC002271)". Lineage: Eukaryota; Viridiplantae; Streptophyta; Magnoliopsida; Lamiales; Oleaceae. The record is from RNAcentral.
UGUUGGAAAAUAAGGGUAAAGCUCCCGAAAUUCCAAAAACUUCUUCUUGCCUGCAGUGCUUCAAUUGUAAAGGCUUUGGUCAUAUCGCAUCUAGAUGUCCUAGUCGAGCUUUAGUCAUUGAGGAAUGAAAAGAUGUAGAAGGUAAGUCAUUAGAAGAUCAAGUCUAUGAACCUAAGUUUGAAGAGUUUGACGAUUUGGAUGAUAUUGAUGAUACCUUGUUAGGUUGCAUCCGAACCUUCCCUAUAGAUCUAGAUUCUGUGACCUCUGUCCCUGACACC